RNAcentral lists this ribosomal RNA (944 nucleotides) under uncultured bacterium. RNAcentral describes it as "bacterial SSU rRNA". It matches the Rfam family "Bacterial small subunit ribosomal RNA", at positions 11 to 988 of the family's 1533-position model. The record is from RNAcentral.
GUUUGAUCCUGGCUCAGAACGAACGUUGGCGGCAUGGAUUAGGCAUGCAAGUCGAGGGAAUCCCCGCAAGGGGGGAACCGGCGUAAGGGGCAGUAGGGCGUGGGUACCCACCCCCGGGUCCGGGAUAGCCCGCCGAGAGGCGGGGUAAUACCGGAUGGUUCUCGGGAGAGGAAAGGUCCGCCGCCCGGGGCGGGGCCCACGUGGUAUCAGCUAGUUGGUGGGGUGACGGCCCACCAAGGCGGGGACGCCUAGCGGGUGUGAGAGCACGACCCGCGCCACUGGCACUGAGACACUGGCCAGACACCUACGGGUGGCUGCAGUCGAGGAUCUUCGGCAAUGGGCGCAAGCCCGACCGAGCGAUGCCGCGUGGGCGACGAAGGCCUUCGGGUUGUAAAGCCCUGUCGAGGGGGAGAAAGCCUUCACCGGCGGAUCGAUCCCUGGAGGAAGCUCGGGCUAAGUUCGUGCCAGCAGCCGCGGUAAGACGAACCGAGCGAACGUUGUUCGGAAUCAUUGGGCUUAAAGGGCGCGUAGGCGGGCGGCCGCGUCCGGGGUGAAAUCCCCCAGCUUAACUGGGGAACUGCCCCGGGUACGGGCCGUCCGGAGUGGGGUAGGGGCCCGCGGAACGGUGGGUGGAGCGGUGAAAUGCGUUGAGAUCCACCGGAACUCCGGCGGCGAAGGCGGCGGGCUGGACCCUUACUGACGCUGAGGCGCGAAAGCCAGGGGAGCGAACGGGAUUAGAUACCCCGGUAGUCCUGGCCCUAAACGUUGGGGACUGGGUAGCGGCCUUGCAUGGGGUCGCUGCCGGAGCGAAAGUGCUAAGUCCCCGCCUGGGGAGUAUGGCCGCAAGGCUGAAACUCAAAGGAAUUGACGGGGGCUCACACAAGCGGUGGAGGAUGUGGCUUAAUUCGAGGCUACGCGAAGAACCUUAUCCUAGUCUUGACAUG